This 434-nucleotide ribosomal RNA is filed under the name uncultured bacterium. RNAcentral's name for it is "bacterial SSU rRNA". It matches the Rfam family "Bacterial small subunit ribosomal RNA", at positions 29 to 507 of the family's 1533-position model. The record is from RNAcentral.
AACGAACGCUGGCGGCAGGGCUUAACACAUGCAAGUCGAACGCCCUCUUCGGAGGGAGUGGCAGACGGGUGAGUAACGCGUGGGAACCUACCCAGUAGUACGGAAUAACUCAGGGAAACUUGUGCUAAUACCGUAUACGCCCUACGGGGGAAAGAUUUAUCGCUAUUGGAUGGGCCCGCGUUGGAUUAGUUUGUUGGUGAGGUAACGGCUCACCAAGACUACGAUCCAUAGCUGGUCUGAGAGGAUGAUCAGCCACACUGGGACUGAGACACGGCCCAGACUCCUACGGGAGGCAGCAGUGGGGAAUAUUGGACAAUGGGGGAAACCCUGAUCCAGCCAUGCCGCGUGAGUGAAGAAGGCCCUAGGGUUGUAAAGCUCUUUCGCUAGGGAAGAUAAUGACGGUACCUAGUAAAGAAGCCCCGGCUAACUUCGUG